This 562-nucleotide ribosomal RNA is filed under the name Emiliania huxleyi. Its description in RNAcentral is "SSU rRNA". It matches the Rfam family "Eukaryotic small subunit ribosomal RNA", at positions 626 to 1192 of the family's 1831-position model. Lineage: Eukaryota; Haptophyta; Isochrysidales; Noelaerhabdaceae. The record is from RNAcentral.
GCUCGUAGUCGGAUUUCGGGGCGGGCCGACCGGUCUGCCGAUGGGUAUGCACUGGCCGGCGCGUCCUUCCACCCGGAGACCGCGCCUACUCUUAACUGAGCGGGCGCGGGAGACGGGUCUUUUACUUUGAAAAAAUCAGAGUGUUUCAAGCAGGCAGUCGCUCUUGCAUGGAUUAGCAUGGGAUAAUGAAAUAGGACUCUGGUGCUAUUUUGUUGGUUUCGAACACCGGAGUAAUGAUUAACAGGGACAGUCAGGGGCACUCGUAUUCCGCCGAGAGAGGUGAAAUUCUCAGACCAGCGGAAGACGAACCACUGCGAAAGCAUUUGCCAGGGAUGUUUUCACUGAUCAAGAACGAAAGUUAGGGGAUCGAAGACGAUCAGAUACCGUCGUAGUCUUAACCAUAAACCAUGCCGACUAGGGAUUGGAGGAUGUUCCAUUUGUGACUCCUUCAGCACCUUUCGGGAAACUAAAGUCUUUGGGUUCCGGGGGGGAGUAUGGUCGCAAGGCUGAAACUUAAAGGAAUUGACGGAAGGGCACCACCAGGAGUGGAGCCUGCGGCUUA